Molecule: ribosomal RNA, 272 nt
Filed under: Bacillus sp. CM15.3
Lineage: Bacteria; Bacillati; Bacillota; Bacilli; Caryophanales; Bacillaceae
Description: partial 16S ribosomal RNA
Rfam family: Bacterial small subunit ribosomal RNA
Source: RNAcentral
CGGCGGACGGGUGAGUAACACGUGGGUAACCUGCCUGUAAGACUGGGAUAACUCCGGGAAACCGGGGCUAAUACCGGAUGCUUGAUUGAACCGCAUGGUUCAAUCAUAAAAGGUGGCUUUCAGCUACCACUUGCAGAUGGACCCGCGGCGCAUUAGCUAGUUGGUGAGGUAACGGCUCACCAAGGCGACGAUGCGUAGCCGACCUGAGAGGGUGAUCGGCCACACUGGGACUGAGACACGGCCCAGACUCCUACGGGAGGCAGCAGUGGUCA